This 76-nucleotide transfer RNA is filed under the name Pseudomonadota bacterium. RNAcentral describes it as "Proteobacteria bacterium (activated sludge metagenome) tRNA-Met". The stretch from base 5 to 67 matches the Rfam family "tRNA", at positions 6 to 65 of the family's 71-position model. Rfam says of the family: Transfer RNA (tRNA) molecules are approximately 80 nucleotides in length. Their secondary structure includes four short double-helical elements and three loops (D, anti-codon, and T loops). Further hydrogen bonds mediate the characteristic L-shaped molecular structure. tRNAs have two regions of fundamental functional importance: the anti-codon, which is responsible for specific mRNA codon recognition, and the 3' end, to which the tRNAs corresponding amino acid is attached (by aminoacyl-tRNA synthetases). tRNAs cope with the degeneracy of the genetic code in two manners: having more than one tRNA (with a specific anti-codon) for a particular amino acid; and 'wobble' base-pairing, i.e. permitting non-standard base-pairing at the 3rd anti-codon position. The record is from RNAcentral. Lineage: Bacteria; Pseudomonadati; Pseudomonadota.
GCGGGGUGGAGCAGUUCGUGAGCUUGUCGGGUUCAUAACCCGAAGGUCACAGGUUCAAGUCCUGUCCAAACACGCA